Molecule: long non-coding RNA, 2914 nt
Filed under: Homo sapiens (human)
Lineage: Eukaryota; Metazoa; Chordata; Mammalia; Primates; Hominidae
Description: HSALNT0300957
Source: RNAcentral
AGAUGUCCGGGCUCACUUAACCACAGAAGGGUGGACCUCUCAGACCAACACUGACACCAGCAGUAAACAGGAAAUGCCCUCCAACCGCAGGCCUCCUGCUCUUCCUGCCAGGGUCGAGAAGAUUCUAAUCCAGAUUCAGAAGAGGAGCUGACUGGCCUCUGGCAAGCCCAAGCUGGAUUACCAGCUGCGGAGGCAGAGGUGCCUGAGGUUUCCCAGCCCCCAGGCCAGAGGAGGCUGCUACACCCACUUCCCCCACGAAGCUGGGGCCCAGGCCAGAGAGAGAGCCCCAAAGCUGGUUUGGGGGCGGGGAGCUUCCCUACAGGCCCUGGAGCCCCAUAGGCCCCAAGACAAAGCAAGAGGAAUGAGAGGAAGCACAGCCGGGUCAAAGCUCCGAGCCACGAGUACUGAGGCAGGUGGUGGUACCCAGACCCCCUCUCCAUAGCUCCCAUGAGAGCACAAGGCGGAGGAGAGGACAGACUCCUGGCCUGAGGGGCCAAGCACCAGCUUCUCAGCCAGCUCUGCCACUGACUUGCUGCUUGGCAAGUCACUUAACUGUUCCAAGCCUCAGUUUUCACUUCUGGAAAUGGGGAUAUGACCCCCUGCCUGCCCCCUCAUGCUGGCAUAAGAAUCAAUGACCUGUGACAGGACUUUGUAAAUUAUAAGUUGGUAUUAGUUAGGCCUCUUUAGUCACAAAUGUGAGAAACUGACAUUAAAUGAGGCAAUGCAAAAGGGGGAUUCACCAGCUCAGAGGCCCAAGACCCAGGGCAGGGAGAGGAGGCGCUGUCAUUCCCUCUCACCCCUGCAUCUCUCUGCAAGUCAGUCUCUUCUUCCGCAAGCCUGGAGCCAACUUCACCUCCUAAGAGGAGCUUCUCUGCUCUGUCACUACCAACUUGAACAACCACAGGGAGGGCCCUGAAUUGUGUCACAUGUCCACCCAUGGCUGUGAGACACUAUCUUAUGCAGCUUCUUCUGGAAGCUUCUUAUUUUGAUUGUUGGCAUCAGCAUUAUAAGUUUGCCACAUUUUCCUGAUUCCUAUCCUCCUUGGACAAAAUAACAUAGGGGCUAAGGGCACAGGCUCUGGAACCCAGAUUACCUGGAUUCAAGUUCUGGUUCUGCCAUUUUCUCACUGUGUAACGUUGGGCAAGUCGCUUAACUUCUCUGCACCUCAGUUCAUAAAUCUGUGAAAACUAAAUGAGUUGAUACAUGGGAAGUAUGAACAAUUGUGCCUGGUGCCGGCCAGGGGUUCAACAAAUGUUAAUCAUUAUUAUUGUCGGAGAAUGAAGGGGCAGUGCCUGGGAAUCCCAGGAUGAGAGACAGCCUGAAGAAAAACCAUCCUGCUCCACCUACUCCUCAACCUUCUUCCGGGGAGAGCUGACAACUGCAGGAGCUAUGGCUCAACAAAGAUGUACAGAGCUAUGCAGUAAGCCCUGAGAAUUACAAAACUUGACAGACAAAGUCGCUUUUUCUCCAGAAGCUCAUUGCCAAGUAAGGGAGAUAGAAGCAUGAAGAGAUCAUUUCUAUCCUGUGCUGGAUAGAAGCGUGUGUAUGUCUCUGUGGGAAGCCACAGUGGGACAACUGGUCCAGAGAGAGCUGCCUGGAAGAAAUGACACCUGAGCUAAGGCCUGGAGCAGGGGCAAGAGCUUGCCAAGCAAGGAAAGGAGGGCAGGGCGUUGUGCUGUCCAUUGGCUAUUCAGUCUCGGCUCCAGAUCUCCACUUGUCAGGUUGGCGCUACUGGGGCUUGAUCUGUGCAAAUUACAUGUCCCCAGGUCAGCUGGUUCUGGCAGGUUCUUCCAAUAGGGGGCACUAGGAGACUGAGGUCAGGAGGAGAGAAGGCACUUGCUCUUUUGUGCUUGCUUGCUUCUCCCCAGCAAGCUUUUUGCCGCAGAAGCAUCCACUGAAGCCUCCAGCUUUCUUCAGCCUCAGCAGCUGGAAGCCAUGUGAAGCAGCUGACAAACAGCUGGAGGCUGAGAUGCCUGCUGUGGGGGGAGCAACAGUUUAAACCAGUGAGCAUGUAGCAUCGGAAAGCUUCCCGAUGGAUGAUAGAUUUGGUGUCAGAAGUGAGAAUACAGAGUAAAACUUCAGCAACCCCCAGGAACACCAGGGAACCAGACCAGAUACCUGCGAAGCCAGCUGUGCCCACUGAUUUCUUGUUUGUAACUGGAGGUCGUGGCUGAAUUUUCUCUCAGAUUCCAAGAUCCAAGAAUUUGUGUUCUCAGCUCUCCAAGUUUGUUUGAGCAAUCUUUGGACUGGGCUGGGUUUGGGAUUGGAUUGGAUUCAAUAAUCAACCGGAUUAGAUUCAGUUAGAGGCUGAGGGCCUCAGAACUACUGCAGGACCAUACCAGAAAAGCUCAGAGAAUCCACAGACCCUUAGAAGGAACUAGAUCACUGCUGCGGGGCCCCUGAGAUGCCGGAAAACUAAAGCUAUAUUUAAAAGGGGGCUGAUACUGCUGUUUUCUAAGAUACUGCCACCAGAUACGUUAAGGAAAUCUCUCAAGAGAAAGGAACAGAUGACAUGUCUAUGGGAGCAACUGACAGUUGGUUUGUAAGCAUCCCGAAUGGUGAAUGGCAAGCUUGGCUUUUUCCAAGGUUUUCUAAAGUAUAAAUUUCUUCCCUUAGGUCUCCAGGUUAUUAUGACUUGUGUUACCAGGUAACAACAAAAAUGGCCUUUUAAAAUCAGGCCAUUUUACAGCAAACUAUAGUUCUUAAUCAUCACCAAAUCCUGCACCAAGGACUAUGCCCAACUAGAGUCAAAUAUUGUUAAACUGCCUAUAUUGUCUGAACUUUGACCUGUUUGAUUUGGUUAGGUUCGUUGAGUUCAUUUCUUAGAACUUGUUGAGGAGUACACUUUGGACUUGUUUGUUUGUUUGCUUGUUUGUUUUAAGAGGUAGUGUCUGUGUAUGCUGCCCAGGCUGGA